GGCCUAUGCUUAAUCUUAGAGCAUUAUCUAAGGUACCUGCAUUUGGGGUAAUGAGGAGGACUUUGAUGGAGGUAGUUAAUAAUAAUACUAUAUGGGAUAUAGUUGGUAUAUAUCCUGAUGAUAGUAGGAUAGAUUUAGAUCUUAAAUUGGAUGAUAAUAGUAUAGUAAGGUUCAAUGCUAAUA
This 183-nucleotide ribosomal RNA is filed under the name Perkinsus marinus. Its description in RNAcentral is "partial Eukaryotic large subunit ribosomal RNA". The record is from RNAcentral. Lineage: Eukaryota; Perkinsozoa; Perkinsida; Perkinsidae.